AACGAACACUGGCGGCAGGCCUAACACAUGCAAGUCGAACGCUGUAGCAAUACAGAGUGGCAGACGGGUGAGUAACGCGUGGGAACCUUCCCAAUGGUGCGGAAUAGCCCAGGGAAACUUGGGGUAAUACCGCAUAAGCCCUUAGGGGGAAGGAUUUAUCGCCAUUGGAUGGGCCCGCGUCGGAUUAGCUAGUUGGUGAGGUAAUGGCUCACCAAGGCAACGAUCCGUAGCUGGUUUGAGAGAAUGACCAGCCACACUGGGACUGAGACACGGCCCAGACUCCUACGGGAGGCAGCAGUGGGGAAUCUUGGACAAUGGGCGCAAGCCUGAUCCAGCCAUGCCGCGUGAGUGACGAAGGCCUUAGGGUUGUAAAGCUCUUUUGCCGGGGACGAUAAUGACGGUACCCGGAGAAUAAGUCCCGGCUAACUUCGUGCCAGCAGCCGCAGUAA
This 449-nucleotide ribosomal RNA is filed under the name uncultured bacterium. RNAcentral's name for it is "partial 16S ribosomal RNA". It matches the Rfam family "Bacterial small subunit ribosomal RNA", at positions 29 to 523 of the family's 1533-position model. The record is from RNAcentral.